GCCGACCUAGCUCAACGGUAGAGCAACGGUAUCGUAAACCGUAGGUUCCGGGUUCAAAUCCCGGGGUCGGCUCCA
This 75-nucleotide transfer RNA is filed under the name Candidatus Giovannonibacteria bacterium RIFCSPLOWO2_01_FULL_46_13. RNAcentral's name for it is "tRNA-Thr". It matches the Rfam family "tRNA". From Rfam's summary of the family: Transfer RNA (tRNA) molecules are approximately 80 nucleotides in length. The record is from RNAcentral. RNAcentral also lists the same sequence under 4 other names. Lineage: Bacteria; Candidatus Giovannoniibacteriota.